This 304-nucleotide long non-coding RNA is filed under the name Gossypium raimondii (Peruvian cotton). Its description in RNAcentral is "long non-coding RNA (GRAI_LNC011092)". The record is from RNAcentral. Lineage: Eukaryota; Viridiplantae; Streptophyta; Magnoliopsida; Malvales; Malvaceae.
AAUGGUAAAGAUGUAUUUAGGUGCAAGGUAGGCUAAACAAAGAUAAUUUACGGUUUUAAGUGUGGCGAUGGAGAGGGUAAUUGAUGGCAAACGAUAGAGAAUCAACUUGCUGGAUCGUAAGUACAAAGAUGAAUGAAUAUCUUUCAACUUUUUUUUAAUUUCGAAUUUCUUCCUCUUUUUUUUUCAAUUACAAAAUACUAAAUAUAAGGAAAUACUUGAAUUCACAAUUUUUUUUAAUUUUUUUUCAAUUCACGAACCUAAUUCAAAUUCUUCGAUCUUUGGCACUCCUCGUUUUCAAGCUCUG